RNAcentral lists this ribosomal RNA (198 nucleotides) under uncultured bacterium. RNAcentral's name for it is "partial 16S ribosomal RNA". It matches the Rfam family "Bacterial small subunit ribosomal RNA", at positions 328 to 539 of the family's 1533-position model. The record is from RNAcentral.
ACGCUCGACACCUACGGGGGCAGCAGUGGGGGAUAUUGCACAAUGGGGGAAACCCUGAUGCAGCGACGCCGCGUGGAGGAAGAAGGUUUUCGGAUUGUAAACUCCUGUCGUUAGGGACGAAUUCUGACGGUACCUAACAAGAAAGCACCGGCUAACUACGUGCCUGCAGCCGCGGUAAUCUGAGCGGGCUGGCAAGGC